Molecule: ribosomal RNA, 497 nt
Filed under: uncultured bacterium
Lineage: Bacteria
Description: partial 16S ribosomal RNA
Rfam family: Bacterial small subunit ribosomal RNA
Source: RNAcentral
GAUGAACGCUGGCGGCGUGCCUAAUACAUGCAAGUCGAGCGAACAGACGAGGAGCUUGCUCCUCUGACGUUAGCGGCGGACGGGUGAGUAACACGUGGAUAACCUACCUAUAAGACUGGGAUAACUUCGGGAAACCGGAGCUAAUACCGGAUAAUAUAUUGAACCGCAUGGUUCAAUAGUGAAAGACGGUUUUGCUGUCACUUAUAGAUGGAUCCGCGCCGCAUAAGCUAGUUGGUAAGGUAACGGCUUACCAAGGCAACGAUGCGUAGCCGACCUGAGAGGGUGAUCGGCCACACUGGAACUGAAACACGGUCCAGACUCCUACGGGAGGCAGCAGUAGGGAAUCUUCCGCAAUGGGCGAAAGCUUGACGGGGCAACGCCGCGUGAGUGAUGAAGGUCUUCGGAUCGUAAAACUCUGUUAUUGGGGAAGAACAAAUGUGUAAGUAACUAUACACGUCUUGACGGUACCUAAUCAGAAAGCCACGGCUAACUACGUG